GUAACAAGGUUUCCGUAGGUGAACCUGCGGGAGGGUCAUUAAUGAAUUUGGGUGCUCUUAAUUGAGGCCCGACCUUCAUUCUUCUACCCUGUGCACUAUAACUUGAUCGAUUUGGGUUUAUCUGAGUUGAUCAAUCAUUUUUAAACUCUACAAGUCUAAGAAUGUUAUAAAAACUAUAAACCAAAUAAAACUUUCAACAACGGGUCUCUUGGCUCUCGCAUCGAUGAAGAACGCAGCGAAAUGUGAUAAGUAAUGUGAAUUGCAGAAUUCAGUGAAUCAUCGAAUCUUUGAACGCAUCUUGCGCUCGCUGGUAUUCCGGCGAGCAUACCUGUUUGAGUGUCAUGAACUCUUCAACCCUCCAAUUCCUUGUUGAAUUGUGAGGUGCUUGGGUUUUGAACAUUUGCUGGCUCUUAGUAGCGUAGCUUGUUCGUAAUGCAUUAGCAUCUCCACUUCGAAUUUCAUUCGGUUUGACUCGGCGUAAUAGACUUUACAUUCGCUGAGGGCACUUUUUUUCAAGUGGCCGAAUUUCGAAGAAGAAGCUUCUAAAUCUCUUUGAAAGUCAAUUUAAGAUUAGACCUCAAAUCAGGCAGGGCUACCCGCUGAACUUAAGCAUAUCAAUAA
Molecule: ribosomal RNA, 621 nt
Filed under: Colacogloea eucalyptica
Lineage: Eukaryota; Fungi; Basidiomycota; Microbotryomycetes; Colacogloeaceae
Description: eukaryotic LSU rRNA
Rfam family: 5.8S ribosomal RNA (bases 189-342)
Source: RNAcentral